GACGAACGCUGGCGGCGUGCUUAACACAUGCAAGUCACGGGGGCUGGAGCAAUCCAGUAACCGGCGAACGGGUGCGUAACACGUGAGCAACCUGCCGUACUCAGGGGGAUAGCCGGCCCAACGGCCGGGUAAUACCGCAUACGUUCUCGCAGGGGAGUCCCUGUGGGAGGAAACCUCCGGGGAGUACGAGGGGCUCGCGGCCUAUCAGCUAGUUGGUGCGGUAACGGCGCACCGAGGCGACGACGGGAGCUGGUCUGAGAGGAUGGCCAGCCACAUUGGGACUGAGAGACGGCCCAGACUCCUACGGGAGGCAGCAGUGGGGAAUCUUGGACAAUGGGCGCAAGCCUGAUCCAGCCAUGCCGCGUGAGUGAUGAAGGCCCUAGGGUUGUAAAGCUCUUUUG
RNAcentral lists this ribosomal RNA (401 nucleotides) under uncultured bacterium. Its description in RNAcentral is "bacterial SSU rRNA". It matches the Rfam family "Bacterial small subunit ribosomal RNA", at positions 28 to 438 of the family's 1533-position model. The record is from RNAcentral.